Molecule: ribosomal RNA, 1170 nt
Filed under: Haplosclerida sp. 7 JV-2020
Lineage: Eukaryota; Metazoa; Porifera; Demospongiae; Haplosclerida
Description: partial large subunit ribosomal RNA
Rfam family: Eukaryotic large subunit ribosomal RNA
Source: RNAcentral
CCUCAGUAACGGCGAGCGAAGUGGGAACGAUUCAGUGCCCAGGUCUGAAAUCUCCGGCCUGACCCAUGCGUGGCCGGCGAAUUGUGGUCUGGAGAGCGGAGUUGUCCCGGAGUCGCGUUCCGUCGGGCCCGAAGUCGACCUGGAAUGGCGUGCCGGAGAGGGUGAUAGCCCCGUAGGGCCGAGAAACCGGGAGCGACGGGACGAGAGCUCCGACUCGUCGAGUCGGGUUGUUUGGGAAUGCAGCCCAAAUGGGGGUGGUAGACUCCAUCCAAGGCUGAACACGGGCGCGAGUCCGAUAGCGGACAAGUACCGUGAGGGAAAGGUGAAAAGCACUUUGAAGAGAGAGUUCAAGAGAGCGUGAAACCGUUGGGAGGGAAGCUCUGGGUGCCGAGGCGGUCCGGUCCUUCGGCGUUCAGUCGGCGGUCGCGUAGUCUCAGGUCGACGCGGCGCCGGUGCACUUGUCGUCGGAUCUCGGUGACCGUCAACGAGAGAAGAGUCCGGUCGUGUUUGGUGCCGGUGGAGGUGGUGCCGUAUCGGGUCUUGGGGUCCGUCUUCGGUCGUAAGCUCUUCGGUGUCCGGUCGUGGCGUUCUUCUCUGGAGUUGGUGGGCGACGUUGUCGUCUGUUGUUGUCGUAGGUGCGGGUCGCCCUCGGGCGUCGCGGUCUCCUCGGCGUCGUGUCGUUCGUCCGCGAGGCAGUGUCCGUCAGGCCGGCCGCUCCGGCGGUCCCGCCUGUGCGGUGCUCUUCCGUUCGGUUCGUCCGGCGCGUUGGAGUCUCGUCUGCCGCGCCUAGGUCGUUGGCGUAGAGUCGGUCCCCAGUGCCCCGUCUUGAAACACGGACCAAGGAGUGCAAGAGGCACGCCAGUCUCGAGGGCGAGUCGACCGUCUCGGCGGUCGUCUGUGGUGGAAAGCCCGUCGUGCGAGGCGUAGCGAGAGCAAGUGCCGUCCCAGAGUCGGCGGGUGCGAGAGCUCCGAGUCUCUCGGAGCGCAUCGCGGACCGAGUCGCGGUCACGCAGUGGCCGGUUUCGAGUGAGAGCGUGUCUGUUGCGACCCGAAAGAUGGUGAACUAUGCCCGAGGAGGGCGAAGCCAGAGGAAACUCUGGUGAGGCCCACAGCGGUUCUGACGUGCAAAUCGAUCGUCGACACUUGGGUAUAGGGGCGAAAGACUAUUCG